UACGGAAGGGGCAAGCGUUGUUCGGAAUCAUUGGGCGUAAAGGGCGCGUAGGUGGUCUUGUAUGUCCGCUGUGAAAUCGUGCAGCUUAACUGCAUCACGUCGGUGGAAACUGCAGGACUUGAGGCUGGGAGGGGCUGGUGGAAUUCCCUGUGUAGCGGUGAAAUGCGUAGAGAUGGGGGAGAACACUCGUGGCGAAGGCGGCCAGCUGGACCAGUUCUGACACUGAGGCGCGACAGCGUGGGGAGCAAACAGG
Molecule: ribosomal RNA, 253 nt
Filed under: uncultured bacterium
Lineage: Bacteria
Description: partial 16S ribosomal RNA
Rfam family: Bacterial small subunit ribosomal RNA
Source: RNAcentral